AUGGCGAAAUCCUGGCUGCUGCUGUUCUGCUUGGCGUUUCUCUUGCCGGCGGCAAGCGCGACGUGCCACCCCGACGACCUACGUGCGCUGCGGGGCUUGGCCCGGAACCUUAGGGGCGGUGGCGCCGCCCACCUCCACAGCGUGUGGUCUGGCGCCUCGUGCUGCGAUUGGGAAGGUGUGGGCUGCCAUGGUGCCAGCGGCCGCGUCACGGCUCUGCGGCUCCAUGGUCACGGCCUCGCGGGGCCCAUCCCAGGAGCCUCCCUUGCGGGCCUCAUAAGGUUGGAGGAGCUCUUCCUUGGCUCCAACUCUUUCGCGGGCACCCUUCCCGACGAGCUCUUCAGCCUUGCUGGGCUGCAGAGGCUCUCCCUCGCAUCCAACAACCUCGCCGGUCAACUGAGCUCGCGCCUCAGCGACCUCAUAAACCUCACCUUGCUGGAUUUGUCCAUCAACCACUUCUCCGGCCACCUCCCUGACAACGUGUUCCGUGACCUCAUGUCGCUCGAGCAUUUGGUUGCACACUCCAAUGGCUUCUCCGGAUCACUGCCACCGUCCCUGUCAUCACUGUCAUCUCUCCGUGAGCUUAACCUCCGGAAUAACUCUCUGUCUGGUCCGAUUUCUCAUGUCAACUUCUCUGGCAUGCCGCUUCUUGCUUCGGUUGACUUGAGCACAAACUACCUGAAUGGGUUGCUGCCAGUUAGCCUCGCCGACUGCGGCGAGCUAAGGUCGCUCAGCCUUGCCAACAACAGAUUGGUCGGCACCAUCCCGUCGUGGAUUGGUGAGCUUGACCACCUUCACUACUUGGAUCUCUCAAAUAAUUCAAUGAUUGGCAAGGUACCGAAGAGUUCGACACGACUCAAGGGCCUCGCCACCGUUGUGGGGCAUUCACCGGGUAUGGCUUUCACUAACAUGCCCUUGUACGAGAAGCGUAACAGACGCAUUCUCGGCCAACAACCAAAUGUCAUAUCUGGAAGCCGCAACACUAUCAGAUCUGGGACCAACAAUGUUCUAUCUGGGAAUGACAACACUGUCAUAUCCGGGAAUGACAAUGUUGUAACUGGGAGUAACAAUGUCGUAUCUGGUAGUGGCAAUGUCGUGACUGAGAGAAACCAUGUUGUUUCUGGGAGCGACAAUGUCGUAUCCGGGAGGAACAAUGUCGUAACUGGGAGCAAUAAUGUUGUAUCUGGGAGAAACCAUGUCGUAUCUGGGAAUAACAAAGUCGUAACUGGAGGUUAG
RNAcentral lists this ribosomal RNA (1233 nucleotides) under Triticum aestivum (bread wheat). Its description in RNAcentral is "partial small subunit ribosomal RNA". Lineage: Eukaryota; Viridiplantae; Streptophyta; Magnoliopsida; Poales; Poaceae. The record is from RNAcentral.